RNAcentral lists this ribosomal RNA (783 nucleotides) under Phylloporus purpurellus. Its description in RNAcentral is "eukaryotic LSU rRNA". The stretch from base 240 to 394 matches the Rfam family "5.8S ribosomal RNA". Lineage: Eukaryota; Fungi; Basidiomycota; Agaricomycetes; Boletales; Boletaceae. The record is from RNAcentral.
CUUCCGCAGGUUCACCUACGGAAGGAUCAUUAUUGAAAUAAAUAUAAUAUGAUGGAAGGAGGUGGGGAGAUGGACUGUCGCUGGCCAGACUAGUCUUGCGUGUGCACGUCCCCCUCGCCUUUUUCUUAUCCUAUACACACACCUGUGAACCUUUUGUAGAUCAUCUCGAAAGAGAGGGAUCUAUGUUUUCUUCACAUCACACACGUCGUAUGGCUAGAAUGAAACAAUACAUAUCAUACAACUUUCAGCAACGGAUCUCUUGGCUCUCGCAUCGAUGAAGAACGCAGCGAAUUGCGAUAAGUAAUGUGAAUUGCAGAUUUCCAGUGAAUCAUCGAAUCUUUGAACGCAUCUUGCGCUCCUUGGUAUUCCGAGGAGCAUGCCUGUUUGAGUGUCAUUGAAUUCUCAACCGUACCAUUUGCGGUAUGGCUUGGAGUUGGGGGUUGCUGGCAGCGAUGUGAGCUCCCCUUGAAUGCAUUAGCGAUCGAGUUGGCUGGUCUUUGACGUGCACGGCCUUGGACGUGAUAAUGAUCGUCCUUGCUGGAGCGUCUUUCCUUAGGACUAUGCACAAAGAUAGCUUCCAAUCACGACAGAGAAAGGGAAGCAAGGGUAGAUAUAGUAUUAGCCUUGAGCUUAGCUACUAGACGGUCUUUACUAAAGGCUGGCGAACGCAAGCAAGACAAAAGGCUCAAGUUGACCCCUUUUUCUCUAUCUCUUGAUUAGAGACUUGACCUCAAAUCAGGUAGGACUACCCGCUGAACUUAAGCAUAUCAAUAAGCGGAGGAA